UAAGUCUGGGGAUCUGGCUUAUGGAGGGGGAUAACCAUUGGAAACGGUGGCUAAUACCGCAUGAUGUCGCAAGACCAAAGUGGGGGACUUUAGGGCCUCACGCCAUAAGAUGAACCCAGAUGAGAUUAGCUAGUAGGUGCGGUAAUGGCGUACCUAGGCGACGAUCUCUAGCUGGUCUGAGAGGAUGACCAGCCACACUGGAACUGAGAGACGGUCCAGACUCCUACGGGAGGCAGCAGUGGGGAAUAUUGCACAAUGGGCGGAAGCCUGAUGCAGCCAUGCCGCGUGUGUGAAGAAGGCCUUAGGGUUGUAAAGCACUUUCAGCGGGGAGGAAGGCGGUAAGAGUAAUAUGCUUAUCGAUUGACGUUACCCGCAAAAGAAGCACCGGCUAACUCCGUGCCAGCAGCCGCGGUAAUACGGAGGGUGCGAGCGUUAAUCGGAAUAACUGGGCGUAAAGGGCAUGUAGGCGGUAAGUUAAGUCAGAUGUGAAAUCCCCGAGCUUAACUUGGGAACGGCAUUUGAGACUGGCUGGCUAGAGUUUUGUAGAGGGGGGGUAGAAUUCCAGGUGUAGCGGUGAAAUGCGUAGAGAUCUGGAGGAAUACCGGUUGCGAAGGCGGCCCCCUGGACAAGGACUGACGCUGAGGUGCGAAAGCGUGGGUAGCAAACAGGAUUAGAUACCCUGGUAGUCCACGCUGUAACGAUGUCGAUUUGGAGGUUGUGGCCUAGUGUUAUGGCGUCCGAAGCUAACGCGA
This 752-nucleotide ribosomal RNA is filed under the name Candidatus Regiella insecticola. RNAcentral's name for it is "bacterial SSU rRNA". It matches the Rfam family "Bacterial small subunit ribosomal RNA", at positions 112 to 860 of the family's 1533-position model. The record is from RNAcentral. Lineage: Bacteria; Pseudomonadati; Pseudomonadota; Gammaproteobacteria; Enterobacterales; Enterobacteriaceae.